CAGGUUAAUAAGUGGGAUUUCUUACCUUAUAAAUAGUCAUGAAAAUAAAUAAAACCCAUUGAAUUAGAAAUGUGGCUCCAGACAGAGCAUUUUAAAUUCACUUCUUAGAAAGCCAACACUAAAGAGUCACUCUGAUCAAUGCAGCAUCAGUGUUUUCUCUGCUACACCUAAAACCGAGCAUCUCUUCCUGUUGCAGCUUCCAGUAAAGUCAGAGCCGUGUGUCUCCCUAAAGCUGGUCUAAACAUCACUGACCCCGAGAAGAGCUGGGUGACAUACUUCGGCUCCACAACAAACAAAGGUGAGACAGAAGUUCUAAUAAUCAAAGCUAUCCACUAGAUGGCGCUAAGGUUCAGGACAUAAAACCACUGUAGUAAAGCCUCUUUGAGGAGCGAUACGCUCAGAGACGAAAGGCAGUGAUGAGUAGCUCACCUGCUUGGUUUCUCUUUCAGAUUCUGGUUCUCUAUACCUGAUGGAGGCUGCAGUGCCACUCAUCCCCUCUGCAGAGUGCAACAGCUCAAAGGCAUCCAGCGGCAGGAUAUUGCAGGAUAUGCUCUGUGCCGCAGAGUCAGAACCCGGAGCCGGCGUGUGCCAUGUAAGAGUAACUCACCAGUAACAUGAUGCACAUGUAUCACAAACAGUUGACAGAGUUUACUGCACAACUUUGCCCUGAGCAAAGCCAGGCAGUCGCUGCCUUGCGUUCAGGCAUCAGUGGUGCAUUUCCUGAGAUUGUGUCGAUAUAAACUCACCUGAUGCUGUGAAAGAGACAAAUGACUGCCUGCUUUUUCAACCACAAACAGGUUUCUGUUCAGGGAGGAAUUUAAAGCAUUUUUCUGCUCUUAUGUAAUUUGCUUUAAGGCACAGUUGGACAAGUCCCGCAUUAUGCGGCACACAUGGCAACAGAUUAAAAUAAACACAUUUCUGUGUCUUAUAACAAACCACUUAUACAGCCAACCCUACAAGGCAUGUUCAGUUAGAGCUCAGCUGACCAUGAUGUCACAUUACUGAAACUAUUCAGUCCUCUUCAUUGAUAAAAGAAAUCCCUCAAAGAACAUUUUUGAAAAAAAUCAUAUCAAUCUGAGUCUUUGUGUUGCACAUGCAGAUCACAGACUGAUUUUUUAUGAUUUGCAUGAAUCUCUAGUUGACCGCUGUCUGCUGUAUUUGUCCUGAACUUCAGCCUGACAGCAGCGGUCACCUGGUUUCCCAGACGGAUGGACUGUGGUGGCUCUCAGGUGAUGGUGUGUGGGGCGAACACUGCAAUGGACAGAAUAAACCAGGUGUCUACACUAACAUCAAACACCAUCUGAACUGGAUCCAUCAACAGAUGCAGAAGCAUCAAGAUGUCUGACGACAGGACCAAAGGCGAUUAGCAAGACAAGUUAUCUGCAUUGUAACAUUGUCUUCAUGUUUGUCUAUAAUACUUUAUAAUGCAGAUUGUUUUUUUUGUUUUUUUACUUCCUUAAAGAAAAUGUUUUCAUAGCCUAAAAGAAAAAACAGAUCAGUCACAAUAUUACAUCUCUGCUUACCCCCAUAUCUAGAAAGUCCCAAAUGUCUUUUAACAGUGAAAGGAUUUCCACAGGGAGGGCGGAAAAAAGGAGAUAUAUAGAAUAUAAAACAAUGAUUCCAUGUAUUUUAUGAAAGUAUUAAGCUAUUGUCUCUCUGUCUUUAUUUAAAUCAAGGGGUAAAAACUACCUGUUUGAUUAAUAAUAACUAUAAUAUUGGGCAAUAUAUUUUAUGUAUAUUUGAGUAUUACUGAUGAUUUUGAUGAUGGCCAUUGAGAAAAUAUGCUUAUUGCUUGUUUCAUAAUAAGUUAGUGUAUUAUGUUUUUAUCAUGUAAAGAACUUUGAACUGCCCUGAUGCUGAAAAGUACUACACAAAUAAACUUAUGAUUUAUUAUUAUUAUUUAAAUGAUUUAAUACAGGUCAAAUUAAAAAUAAAUAAAAAAAUAUUUCAUUAUUUGAGCCAUUUGAAAUUGGAUGUUUUAUAUAAUUCAUAUUUUCAGACUGGUUCUAUUUAAAUAUUUUUUUAUUCUAAAGGACAAGCAAUAAUCAGGCCACUGUGUGGCUAGCGAACAAAUCCAGCCGUUCAUAAAGAUAUUGUCAAUCGCAGUUUUACUCAUAACUUAAUAAUUUGGGAUGAUUAGUUUUUUGACAAAGGGUCCCAUUGGUUUAUAUAAUCUUUUCCCCUGUAAAUAUUAAGUCAUUUGAAAACUGCAUUUUAUUUUCACUCAGAUUGCCUGACGUUAAAAUUAGCUUGAUGAUGUUGAACAUUUAUUUAUUUGAGACAAAAUAAAAACAUAACUAAUCUGUAAGCUGAGCUCCACUAUCUAAUGACUGCCUUUACAGCUCACAGUCUUCGAUGCCCCAAGUUGUCUUUUAAUUAUUUGCUUAAUAUGAAACUGAGCCCAAUUCCUCUGCCAUCUCAGCCACUGCAAGCAUUCAGCUUGCCAAUGUAAGCAAAUCUUCAUCAGUGCAGACAGAGCAUCUGCAUAGAGUGGCAUAGAAUUAAGUAUUGUUAAUAAUGUACUUGUGUAGCACAUUUAAAAAUAGCAAAACAAAAUCAGGUAAAUUCAUAUGCUAUUAAAGCCCAAAUAAGCUGGACAAUGGUGGGAUUGAGAUAUAAGAAGGGAAAAAAAACCCAAAAAAUAACACAAGAGAUCAUUUUUUUCUCUUUGGCUCCCAAAAUAUUUUUUAAUUUAAAAUGAUUGAUUUGUCUUAAAUGAUUUUAUGUACAACACAGUUACAACGUUUGGCACUAAAAGCAUACACAGUUAAAUAAAUGAACAGUUCAUGUGUAUGUCGAAAUAAAGUUUUACAUGUUCAGGGUUCAGACACUGGGCAACAUUAGUAAGACAGUAAGAGCGUACAGCUCAGGACAACUCACUGAAGUUUAAAUCUACAUUAUUCCACACUGUUUUUUUCUCCUCCCCAGCUUUACUGGUGAGACGUCUUGUGUAGCAUUAAUCUGGCUGAUGUGCAAAGACUUUUUAUUUGGAAGCCAUCAAGUCAGCUAGAUUUACAAGACUGCUAAAAAUAGUCCUACCCAGAAUGAUGAGAUGUUUUUCCCAACUUAUGCACUUCAGGAAUCCUUCACAUAUACUUCUUGCUUUGUAAAACGAAAUGUGCUGUAUAAAAACAGCCUUUGAUAUUAGGCUAUGGGAUUAGAAAUAAUGGCGCAAAAAA
Xiphophorus couchianus (Monterrey platyfish) is the source of this 3179-nucleotide long non-coding RNA. RefSeq lists it as uncharacterized. NCBI's taxonomy places the organism in Eukaryota, Metazoa, Chordata, Actinopteri, Cyprinodontiformes, Poeciliidae. The transcript is spliced from 2 exons. The record is from RefSeq and is a predicted model, not a curated record.